UACGUAGGGGGCAAGCGUUGUCCGGAAUCAUUGGGCGUAAAGCGCGUGUAGGCGGCCCGAUAAGUCCGCUGUGAAAGUCCAGGGCUCAACCCUGGAAUGCCGGUGGAUACUGUCGGGCUCGAGUCCGGAAGAGGCGAGUGGAAUUCCUGGUGUAGCGGUGAAAUGCGCGGAUAUCAGGAGGAACACCAAUGGCGAAGGCAGCUCGCUGGGACGGUACUGACGCUGAGACGCGAAAGCGUGGGGAGCAAACAGG
This 253-nucleotide ribosomal RNA is filed under the name uncultured bacterium. RNAcentral's name for it is "partial 16S ribosomal RNA". It matches the Rfam family "Bacterial small subunit ribosomal RNA", at positions 524 to 776 of the family's 1533-position model. The record is from RNAcentral.